Molecule: ribosomal RNA, 449 nt
Filed under: uncultured bacterium
Lineage: Bacteria
Description: bacterial SSU rRNA
Rfam family: Bacterial small subunit ribosomal RNA
Source: RNAcentral
GUCGAGAAUCUUUCACAAUGGGGGCAACCCUGAUGGAGCGACGCCGCGUGGAGGAUAAGGUCUUCGGAUUGUAAACUCCUGUCAUGCGUGAACAAGGUUGCUUGGUUAAUACCUGGGCAAAUUGAUGGUAACGCAAGAGGAAGAGACGGCUAACUCUGUGCCAGCAGCCGCGGUAAUACAGAGGUCUCAAGCGUUGUUCGGAAUCACUGGGCGUAAAGGGUGCGUAGGUGGCGUGGUAAGUCAGAUGUGAAAGCCCGGGGCUCAAACUCGGAACUGCAUCCGAUACUGCCAUGCUAGAGUACUGGAGAGGUGACUAGAAUUCUCGGUGUAGCAGUGAAAUGCGUAGAUAUCGAGAGGAAUACCAAAGGCGUAGGCAGGUCACUGGACAGUUACUGACACUGAGGCACGAAGGCCAGGGGAGCGAACGGGAUUAGAAACCCUGGUAGUCC